RNAcentral lists this ribosomal RNA (353 nucleotides) under uncultured Desulfocapsa sp. RNAcentral's name for it is "bacterial SSU rRNA". It matches the Rfam family "Bacterial small subunit ribosomal RNA", at positions 1029 to 1382 of the family's 1533-position model. The record is from RNAcentral. Lineage: Bacteria; Pseudomonadati; Thermodesulfobacteriota; Desulfobulbia; Desulfobulbales; Desulfocapsaceae.
UGGAGACAGGUGCUGCAUGGCUGUCGUCAGCUCGUGUCGUGAGAUGUUGGGUUAAGUCCCGCAACCGAGCGCAACCCCUAUCUUUAGUUGCCAUCAUUGAGUUGGGCACUCUAAAGAGACUGCCGGUGUCAAACCGGAGGAAGGUGGGGAUGACGUCAAGUCCUCAUGGCCUUUAUGACCAGGGCUACACACGUACUACAAUGGCCGGUACAAAGGGCAGCGACACAGCGAUGUGAAGCGAAUCCCGAAAAGCCGGUCUCAGUCCGGAUUGGAGUCUGCAACUCGACUCCAUGAAGUUGGAAUCGCUAGUAAUCGCGGAUCAGCACGCCGCGGUGAAUACGUUCCCGGGCCUU